Molecule: long non-coding RNA, 416 nt
Filed under: Ananas comosus (pineapple)
Lineage: Eukaryota; Viridiplantae; Streptophyta; Magnoliopsida; Poales; Bromeliaceae
Description: long non-coding RNA (ACOM_LNC030010)
Source: RNAcentral
UUAAAAAAAAAGAGAGUUUAUUUUUUUUUUAAGAAAACAUCAAUUGGAAAUUUGGAAUCUAUAGUUUGACUUGUUUAAAUAUAGCUCCCUACACCUGCUUUGACACUAUUAUUGUGAAACAACCGUUGUACUCUAAAAGUUUAAGCUAUUAGAGAACGGUAUUUAAACAUUUUUAUAUUUAACACUCCCCCUCACGUCUGGGCUCGAGACUUUUUAGUUGGCCCAUGACGUGAGCUUAAAUUAAAUGAGAGGAAAUUAAUAUGUUAGGAGCCUUGAAUGACUUGAACUCAGGACCUCUUGCUUUGAUACCAUAUGAAACAACUGUUGUACUCUAAAAGCUUAAGCUGUUAGAGAACGGUAUUUAAAUAUUUUUAUAUUUAACAAUUAUAAUGUUGUAUAUGAGUUUAUUUGAGUAA